Molecule: non-coding RNA, 2158 nt
Organism: Ceratotherium simum simum (southern white rhinoceros)
Lineage: Eukaryota; Metazoa; Chordata; Mammalia; Perissodactyla; Rhinocerotidae
Source: RefSeq, a predicted model, not a curated record
ACUGCGCACAUCUCCUCGUCUGAGUUCUGCGGAACUCAUUUUGAGUAGAGGGAUUUUUAAGCCCGGUAGGAUUUAAGAACCGUGUCACUUCCGGUAACACCGGAAGCAAUUUGAAGAUGGCGUCCUCCUCACUGAAGGGGCCAGCCACGGCGGCUGGGAAAAGUGAGUCUCGAACCCAGAAGCCGAAGCCGGAGAACCGAGAUGAAUCAGAACUCCUCACUGUUCCUGAGGGUUGGAAGGAACCAGCUUUUUCCAAAGAGGACAAUCCCAGAGGACUCUUGGAGGAAAGCAGUUUUGCAACUUUGUUCCCAAAAUAUAGAGAGGCUUACUUGAAAGAGUGCUGGCCUUUGGUACAGAAAGCCUUGAAUGAGCAUCACGUUAAUGCAACCCUGGACCUGAUUGAGGGCAGCAUGACUGUUUGUACAACAAAGAAGACCUUUGAUCCGUAUAUCAUCAUUAGGGCCAGAGACCUCAUAAAACUAUUAGCAAGGAGUGUUUCAUUUGAACAGGCAGUACGGAUUCUUCAGGAUGAUGUUGCAUGUGACAUCAUUAAAAUAGGUUCUUUAGUAAGAAAUAAAGAAAGAUUUGUUAAAAGAAGACAACGGCUCAUUGGUCCCAAAGGAUCUACACUGAAGGCAUUGGAACUCUUAACAAACUGUUACAUUAUGGUUCAGGGAAACACAGUUUCAGCCAUUGGACCUUUUAGUGGCUUAAAAGAGGUUCGAAAAGUAGUCCUAGAUACUAUGAAGAAUAUUCAUCCUAUUUAUAACAUUAAAACCUUAAUGAUUAAACGAGAGUUGGCAAAAGAUUCUGAAUUAAGAUCACAAAGUUGGGAAAGAUUUUUGCCACAGUUCAAGCACAAAAAUGUGAAUAAACGCAAGGAACCAAAGAAAAAAACUGUUAAGAAAGAGUAUACACCAUUCCCACCACCACAGCCAGAAAGUCAGAUUGAUAAAGAAUUGGCUAGUGGUGAAUACUUUCUGAAGGCAAGUCAAAAGAAGCGACAGAAAAUGGAAGCAGUGAAGGCUAAACAAGCAGAAGCGCUCACUAAGAGACAAGAGGAAAGAAACAAAGCUUUUAUUCCACCUAAAGAAAAACCAGUUGUGAAACUGAAGGAAGCAUCUACUGAAACUAAAGUUGAUGUGGCUGCCAUCAAGGAAAAAGUCAAGAAAGCAAAGAAUAAGAAGCUGGGCGCUCUUACAGCUGAAGAAGUUAAGCUUAAAAUGGAAGCAGAUGAAAAGAAAAAGAAGAAAAAAAAGUAACAUACAGAAAAAAAUUGAGCUAAAAUUUACUAAACUUUCUCCUUUUGUAAAGGAUUUUGAGAUACUAGGGCAUUAGUUGCCUUAUCUGUGAGGAGUAGACUCUGAUCACUUUUUGUCUGAGCUUUGCUUUUUAUAACAGUGUUUAUAUAAACAGCUGUUCUUUAUAAAUAUAAAUUAUUCUCCAUGUGUUUUUUGAAAAAUUUUGUACUAUAAAGUGGUAUGUAUGCCUUUGUAUACAUUGCACCUAAUCUGUUCCAGGCAGGUUUUGCCUAAGCAUGAUUUUAGGAGUAAUCCUUUAGGUUGUUUAUAUUAUAUAAAGAUUUUUGGAAUGUGGCUAUUAUAAUUAUCCAUCAGAUCCAGUGUGUGAUGCCAUUGGUUAAUCUUUAAAUCAUAUCCCAGCAUUUGGUUUUGAGGAAAAUAAAUGCAGAUUUUUCAGUACUCUCUCUAAUGAUAACAAACAUUUAGGCUUAUUCCCUUUUAUAAUCUCAUUUUACAUUUCAUUCCAAGACGAAACAACCCAUAAGCAAAGAAAGCAAGGCCUCUUAGAUCAAAUCCUUCAUUCCUGUUGUAUUCUGAGUCUGGGAAAGUGGUAAACCAGAAGCACAUCAAAUUGCAGGAGAGCAGGGAAGACCAGGUAUUCAGACUUGAAGCAGCAUGAACAAGCGAGGUAGAAACGUUUUUACUCCUGAGGGCCGGGGGGUUAUCUGGAAUCACCUACAUCUAGCUUGCUCAUCUUACAUACUGAGAAGCUGAGGCGGACAGGCUGGCUACUUAUCAGCUGUGGCAGCCUGAAAACUGCUCAUUCAUAGAAAAGUGGAAAGUAAAGAUGAGUUUAUCCUAUAGAGUUGGGAAGUUGAACAGUUGCUUCUUCUAAGAGUUUAUUGCAACAACAUUUU